CUGCAGGCUGCAACUCGCCUGCACGAAGUCGGAAUUGCUAGUAAUCGUAGGUCAGCAUACUACGGUGAAUACGUUCCCGGGCCUUGUACACACCGCCCGUCAAACCAUGAGAGUUGGCAACACCCGAAGUCGGUAGUCUAACCGCAAGGAGGACGCCGCCGAAGGUGGGGUUGAUGAUUAGGGUUAAGUCGUAACAAGGUAUC
Molecule: ribosomal RNA, 203 nt
Filed under: uncultured bacterium
Lineage: Bacteria
Description: partial 16S ribosomal RNA
Rfam family: Bacterial small subunit ribosomal RNA
Source: RNAcentral